Molecule: ribosomal RNA, 265 nt
Filed under: uncultured prokaryote
Description: partial 16S ribosomal RNA
Rfam family: Bacterial small subunit ribosomal RNA
Source: RNAcentral
UACGGAGGGUGCAAGCGUUAUCCGGAAUCACUGGGCGUAAAGGGCGCGUAGGUGGUCUGUUAAGUCUGGCGUUAAAGACUGGGGCUCAACCCCAGCAUUGCGUUGGAUACUGGCAGGCUUGACGGUUGGAGAGGCGAGUGGAAUUACCAGUGUAGCGGUGAAAUGCGUAGAUACUGGUAGGAACACCCAUUGCGAAGGCAGCUCGCUGGACAACACGUGACGCUGAGGAGCGAAAGUGUGGGGAGCAAACCGGAUUAGAUACCCU